GUAGGGGGCGAGCGUUGUCCGGAUUUGCUGGGCGUAAAGAGCGCGUAGGCGGUUUCGAGAGUCGGCUGUGAAAUCUCCAGGCUCAACCUGGAGGGGUCGGCCGAGACCUUGAGACUUGAGGGUGGUAGAGGAAGGUGGAAUUCCGGGUGUAGUGGUGAAAUGCGUAGAUAUCCGGAGGAACACCAGUGGCGAAGGCGGCCUUCUGGGCCAAACCUGACGCUGAGGCGCGAAAGCGUGGGGAGCGAACCGAAUUAGAUACUCGGGUAGUCCACGCCCUAAACGAUGGACGCUAGGUGUCGGGGGUAUCGACCCCUCCGGUGCCCGAGCUAACGCAGUAAGCGUCCCGCCUGGGGAGUACGGCCGCAAGGCUA
This 371-nucleotide ribosomal RNA is filed under the name uncultured bacterium. RNAcentral describes it as "bacterial SSU rRNA". It matches the Rfam family "Bacterial small subunit ribosomal RNA", at positions 527 to 896 of the family's 1533-position model. The record is from RNAcentral.